RNAcentral lists this ribosomal RNA (189 nucleotides) under uncultured bacterium. RNAcentral describes it as "partial 16S ribosomal RNA". It matches the Rfam family "Bacterial small subunit ribosomal RNA", at positions 338 to 519 of the family's 1533-position model. The record is from RNAcentral.
CCUACGGGAGGCAGCAGUGGGGAAUAUUGGACAAUGGGCGCAAGCCUGAUCCAGCAAUGCCGCGUGUGUGAAGAAGGCCUUCGGGUUGUAAAGCACUUUUAUCAGGAAAGAAAUCUUGCCGGUUAAUACCCGGCGGGGAUGACGGUACCUGAGGAAUAAGCACCGGCUAACUCUGUGCCAGCAGCCGCG